CAGCCGCCACGGGAAUACGUAGGGCGCAAGCGUUAUCCGGAAUUAUUGGGCGUAAAGAGCUCGUAGGCGGUUUGUCGCGUCUGCCGUGAAAGUCCGGGGCUCAACCCCGGAUCUGCGGUGGGUACGGGCAGACUAGAGUGAUGUAGGGGAGACUGGAAUUCCUGGUGUAGCGGUGAAAUGCGCAGAUAUCAGGAGGAACACCGAUGGCGAAGGCAGGUCUCUGGGCAUUAACUGACGCUGAGGAGCGAAAGCAUGGGGAGCGAACAGGAUUAGAUACCCGAGUAGUCCCUGUCUCUUAUAC
This 301-nucleotide ribosomal RNA is filed under the name uncultured bacterium. RNAcentral's name for it is "partial 16S ribosomal RNA". It matches the Rfam family "Bacterial small subunit ribosomal RNA", at positions 509 to 807 of the family's 1533-position model. The record is from RNAcentral.